ACUAUUUCUGCCGCUUCCCCGUCUCACUUUAUCUCUCCCUCCUUUUCCUUUCUCGAUGUACCUCUAUUCCUCCCUCCCUCCCUCACUUUCUUAGUUCUCCUGUUGUUUCUCUUUUAACGGAAGCCGAUCCCCGAGCGAUUUCCAGGCGAAUCCCUUCUCGCCUCCUCUUUUCCCUCGCUCCCUCUCUCGCUUUCCCUCUGCCGACCGAUUUCUAGGGUUUCUCGCGACCAGGAACUAAUCAAGGUGCAGCUGAUCUUCCCCUUUUCCUAUACAUUUAGGUGCCGAUCGACCCGGCUUGUGAGAGGAGGAGGAGGAGUGGGAGAUGUCUGCUCGGCCUCACGUCACCAUCACUCUGGGCCGGAGUGGGCAGUUUGUCAAGAGAGCGAGACCUGGAGCCGAUUUUGGUCAAUCUGACCAUGACAUUUCAUCAGGAAGACACCAGCCAACAAGAGAAAGGUCAGGAAGCGACAUGACUGAUUCCAGUUUGUAUGGGAGUCAACACAAGAACAAACGCAUUAGAACAGAAAACAGCAAUUCCAGCUCAGAUCGUCAGAUUGGACGAAAUGAUCUUCGAUUUAAACUUAUAAAUAAAAGUUUAUUUCGAAAAACUGGUACUGGAGGAGGAGGACAAAAUGAUGUUGAUCUUCGGGAAAAACUCUCAAGGAUCAGGGAGAUUUCUUUCAAAUCCAAUCCAAGAAGGAAUUUAAGAGAAUUCAGAACUUCUGGCACUGUAAGGCGACUGCCUCCUACAAGAAGUGUAGAUGAUUUACUUCAGUUGGAUUCAAAGAGAAAAUCUUACUCUUCACGGACUGUCGAUGAGAGAAGACAUAGAUCACCGGAUAAACUUUUUAGCAAUGCUAGGGCUUUUUACUCCCCAAGAAGUCAUGAGGAUGCUUCCAGACAUUCAAGUUUUAUUAAAAAUGGUCGAGUUAAUUCUUCAAGAACUAUUUCUUCCGUGGGCAAGACUGGACUUCUAAUUGAUGCAGGAAAGUCUGGUAUUCGAGAUUCUUCAUCUGGGAGCAUUAUGCACAGAAGCACACAUAAGCCUGAAGAACCAUUUACAGUUUCUAGCUUUCUGAAUGCAUUGGGUCUAGGAAAGUAUGCCAUUUUGUUUCAAGCAGAAGAGGCAUUUCCACUGGUUGAGAAAUUUGACUUGUCCGACUGUCCUGCUGACCUCAAACUCAUUUUGUGGUCAAAUUUGACUAUUUGUUGAGCUCAGAUGGUAUUUUUGUUGGGAUUUGUUGCAAAGAUUGUUGAAGGAUUGACGUGAUAGACAUGACUUCACUGAGGGAGAUGGGAGACCAUGACCUCAAGGAACUGGGUAUUCCCAUGGGACCUAGGAAGAAGAUUCUUCUGGCAGUAUUAUCUCAUACAAAAUACCACUAUUUGUGAGAUUGUCCACUUGAUUUGAAAUUCUCAAUUACAUCAUGCUGUGGGUGUGUUGUACAUUAUCAAAACAAUGAUCAUUUUCAUGUACUAGCUCCUAGCAUUCUGAGGUUCAUAAAGAAUGAUGACUUGAUGAAAACCAAAAACUACGAUAAAGGAAUGUCUAUUGUCUCGAGUCACUCUUGUACAGACCAAGUUAUUGGAAGUCUAAUGUUGUUCUGAAAUGAAAAGAAAACACUUACAGA
This is an RNA transcript of Musa acuminata AAA Group (dessert banana), 1631 nucleotides long. RefSeq lists it as uncharacterized. The record is from RefSeq and is a predicted model, not a curated record. Lineage: Eukaryota; Viridiplantae; Streptophyta; Magnoliopsida; Zingiberales; Musaceae. The transcript is spliced from 8 exons.